GACGAACCGUGCAAACGUUGUUCGGAAUCACUGGGCUUAAAGGGCGCGUAGGCGGGUCAUCAAGUCUGUGGUGAAAUCCCCCGGCUCAACCGGGGAACUGCCGUGGAUACUGGUGGCCUCGAGGAUGGUAGGGGCGUGCGGAACGGUUGGUGGAGCGGUGAAAUGCGUUGAUAUCAACCGGAACUCCGGUGGCGAAGGCGGCACGCUGGACCAUUUCUGACGCUGAGGCGCGAAAGCCAGGGGAGCAAACGGG
RNAcentral lists this ribosomal RNA (253 nucleotides) under uncultured Zavarzinella sp. Its description in RNAcentral is "partial 16S ribosomal RNA". It matches the Rfam family "Bacterial small subunit ribosomal RNA", at positions 524 to 776 of the family's 1533-position model. The record is from RNAcentral. Lineage: Bacteria; Pseudomonadati; Planctomycetota; Planctomycetia; Gemmatales; Gemmataceae.